GGAAAUAUGAGUACAUUUUGAUGAAACUGAAGAUCUCCAACUUCUAAAUUAUGCUGCAUUUUUCUUGCCAGUAGGAGCAACCCUUCUUCUCCUACCUGAGAAUAUUAGAUUCUCUCCUGCCUCUACUGAUGUAUUUACAAGGGACUGAUUAUCCUCAUCAGGAGCUUCUCCCAAAUACCUGCCAUCGCUUCUAGACCUAUUACUAAACUGAAGUUGCAGGCUCCAGAGAGCAAGUCUACAGGAUAUCAGAAUUCUAAGAAAAACUUGGAAAUCAUGUUCAGGACUAUACAGGACUUUAAAAGCUUUAUCUUCCCAAACUGAAAACCAGACCUCUCAAGUCUAGCUGCUCUCCUCCAGGUGCUGCAUAAAUGGACCUGGUCUUUGGCUACCUUACUUUGGAUCACUUGGUUGAAACAGUUCCCUUAGUCAACUUGUCCACUGGACUUAAGCUGUGGGACACAGAAAUUUUCCCUGGAAGAACAGAACAAUGAAGAUGAAUAGUUGAAAAAUGAGGCUAUACAAGCAUGAUGACAGUACCUGCUCGGCUUCUGGUGAGCUUUUACUCAUGGCAGAGAGCAAAGUGGAAGCAGUAAGUCACAAAGUGAAAGCAGGAGCAAGGAAGGGGGAAGUGCCACACUUUUAAACAACCAGAUCACUUGAGAACUCAUUUACUGUCAUGAGGACAACACCAACUCAUGAGAGAUCCUCCCCUACAAUCCAAACACCUUUCACCAGCCUCAUCUCCAACAUUGGGUAUUACAUUUCAACAUGAGAUUUGGGCAGGGACAAAUACCCAAGCUCUAUCAUUCUGCCUCUGGCACCCCCAAAUCUCAUGUCCCUCUCCCAUUGCAAAAUAAAAUCACGCCUUCCUAAUUGUUCCCCAGGUCUUAACUUAUUCCAGCAUCAAUUCAAAAGUCCAAAGUCCAAAGUAUGCUCAGAUAUCACAAUUUCCUUCUGCCUAUGAGCCUAUAAAAUAAAAAACAAAUUAUUUAUUUUCAAGAUACAAUAGGAAUACAGGCAUUGUAUAAACAUUCCUAUUCCAAAAAUGAGAAAAGAAAGGGGCUACAGUCCCCAUUCAAGUUCAAAACCCAGCAGGGUAGCUGUUACAUCUUAAAAGGUCCAAAAUAAUCUCCAUUGACUCCCUUUCCCAUAUCAAAGGCACUUCUGCAAGUCUCAGAGUCUAAAGGCUGAAAAACCUGGAGUCUGAUGUCCAAGGGCAGGAGGAGAGGAAGCAAGCAUCUGACAUGGAAAGAAAGUGGGAGCCAGAAGACUCAGCAAGCAAGACUACCCCCAUGACUUCUUCCACCUAGGUCUUCCUCUUCCAGUCCACUGACCCAAAUGUAAAUUUCCUUUGGCAACAUCCUCACAGACACACCCCAAAACAAUACUUUGCCAGCCAUCUAGGAAUCCUUUAAUCCAGUCAGGAUGACAACUAAUGUUAACCAUCACAGCAUUUUCUAAAGAGAAUCCUGCAUUCUAAAGGAUCUAGUCUGGAUGCCAGGAGCUGUGUAUAGGAUGAGAGCCUGGUGGACCUGAUUGACCGCCUGUUGUUCAGUUCAGUUCAGAGACUGAAAAUCAGGAUUUGUGCUGGAGAGUCUUUGAACUGUGUGUGAAAGUAUCUGAAGGUCCAUGACAAUUUGAAAGGUUUGAGCACACAAUGAAAUGAGUUGAUAUUGACUGUUGGGAACCAGAGUUCUCAGUGGAUGAAGAGACACAGAAAAAUAAAAUGAAGGAAGGCAAAGAAGAUCUCUGAAGAGAUGGAUUGGAAUUGGAAGCAUUAGUAUGAACCAUGAUUCUAAAAUAGUUAUAUAUUGAUGUCUAUGCUUGUAUAUAUCCAGAAGUUUAUGUAUGUAUGUUUAAAUGUGUGUGUAAUAUAUAUGUAUACAUAUAUGUACACAUGUAUAUAUUUCCUAGCUUUGUCUACUGAAAGGGUCCACAAGCAAAAUCUUGUAGCGGAUCUUGGUCUCUAAGAUUGUUCCCUGUUAAAAAAAAAACAGGAUCCGUUGGAGAAAUUGCUGAUUCCAGUGCUGUAGCAGAAAAGGUAAUACAUGAUCCUAAAAUCAGUAGUCUCAUUCUGUUAGAUUACUGUGGGGUUCAGUAUGGUAGCCACUAGUCUCUUGUGCUAUUUAUUUAUUUAUUUUUAUUAUUAUGCUUUAAGUUCUAGGGUACAUGUGUACAGCAUGCAGGUUUGUUGCAUAUGUAUACAUCUGCCAUGUUGGUGUGCUGCACCCAUUAACUGGCAAUUUACAUUAGGUAAAUCUCCUAAUGCUAUCCCUGCUCCCUCCCCCAACCCCAUGUCAGGCCCCAGUAUGUGAUGAUCCUCAUCCUGUGUCCAAGUGUUUUCAUUGUUCAGUUCCCACCUGUGAGUGAGAACAUGCAGUGUUUGGUUUUCUAUCCUUGCGAUAGUUUGCUCAGAAUGAUGGUUUCUAAUUUCAUCCAUGUCCCUACAAAGGACAUGAACUCAUCCUUUUUUAUGGCUGCAUAGUAUUCCACGGUGUAUAUGUGCCACAUUUUC
RNAcentral lists this long non-coding RNA (2515 nucleotides) under Homo sapiens (human). RNAcentral's name for it is "HSALNT0109524". Lineage: Eukaryota; Metazoa; Chordata; Mammalia; Primates; Hominidae. The record is from RNAcentral.